Molecule: ribosomal RNA, 551 nt
Filed under: uncultured Diversispora
Lineage: Eukaryota; Fungi; Glomeromycota; Glomeromycetes; Diversisporales; Diversisporaceae
Description: SSU rRNA
Rfam family: Eukaryotic small subunit ribosomal RNA
Source: RNAcentral
UUGGAGGGCAAGUCUGGUGCCAGCAGCCGCGGUAAUUCCAGCUCCAAUAGCGUAUAUUAAAGUUGUUGCAGUUAAAAAGCUCGUAGUUGAACUUCGGGGUUUACUCAUUGGUCAGGCUUAAUUGUCUGUACUGGUGAGAUGAAUCUCUACCUUCUGAGGAACUUUCAUGUCAUUUAUUUGGUGUGAUUGGAAAUCAGGACUGUUACUUUGAAAAAAUUAGAGUGUUUAAAGCAGGCUAACGUCUGAAUACAUUAGCAUGGAAUAAUGAAAUAGGACGGACUGAUUCUAUUUCGUUGGUUUCUAGGAUCACCGUAAUGAUUAAUAGGGAUAGUUGGGGGCAUUAGUAUUCAAUUGUCAGAGGUGAAAUUCUUGGAUUUAUUGAAGACUAACUACUGCGAAAGCAUUUGCCAAGGAUGUUUUCAUUAAUCAAGAACGAAAGUUAGGGGAUCGAAGACGAUCAGAUACCGUCGUAGUCUUAACCAUAAACUAUGCCGACUAGGGAUCGGACGAAGUUAAUUUUAUAAUGACGCGUUCGGCGCCUUACGGGAAAC